Eriocheir sinensis (Chinese mitten crab) is the source of this 232-nucleotide long non-coding RNA. RefSeq lists it as uncharacterized. NCBI's taxonomy places the organism in Eukaryota, Metazoa, Arthropoda, Malacostraca, Decapoda, Varunidae. The record is from RefSeq and is a predicted model, not a curated record. The transcript is spliced from 2 exons.
UGCAUCAUAUGGAAGCAUUUGUUUUGAAAUAUGAUUAAAUUCUAUUUUAUUUUUGGAAACUUCGACCUUGGGCGAACUUUUCGAGGUCAAAGUCAAAGGUCAAGGUCAAGGCCAUGCAAGGUGCGUCUUUCCAUGAGCUAAAAUGUGAACCAAGUCUGAAGUAGCUACGAUGACGAGAACCGAAGUUAUGGCCAAUCUGACGUUUUGUACAACAUUGAUCUUGACCUUUGAC